UUUCCCACAAAAGAAGUAAACAAGUGUGAUUUUUUCAUAUUGGAACAAUGCAUAAGUCGAAUGAUUUUGGUCAAAGGUUAUUCGCCUUUUCCUUUUCAGAGGCCAUCGAACAUCUAAUUUGAAUCUGAUUCACAUGUACUUUUUAAUGCCCCUAGUUACCAAAGCAGCAUCAUAUUCUACAAACUCUCCAAUGAACUUACCAAAUUGACACACUAUUCUUUUAGAGAUAAAUCCCUUCAAUAAAUUGUAAACUUG
RNAcentral lists this long non-coding RNA (255 nucleotides) under Gossypium barbadense (sea-island cotton). RNAcentral's name for it is "long non-coding RNA (GBAR_LNC013680)". Lineage: Eukaryota; Viridiplantae; Streptophyta; Magnoliopsida; Malvales; Malvaceae. The record is from RNAcentral.